AUGUAUGCUUCUAGACCCCCUCCAUUGGUCGCACGAUGGGACGAAAUGAUGGCUACUUUAAGAAGCGAUGCUUACGAGAAAGGAGGUCUUCAUAACGGGCUGAUUGAAAUGGUAGUUGAAUUCAUGAAUGCACGCAUUGCUGAUCAUGAAAAGAAGGUAGGCAGGAAGUUAAUGGAAAUUGAGCACAGAUUUGAUGUCAAAUACCAGACUCUAGGUGAAGACUUGAUCGACAUGAAGACUAAAACUGGCACUAAUCCUAGGUUGUCGCAGGCCGAGGAUGAAAUUAAAGUCUUAAGGAGGGAACUCCAUGACUUAAAAUACGAAUUUACAAGCAACCGACAAUCAGUGUCACAGAAAGGAGGCGUGCAGGUGAUCAAUAUGGCCCAACACGUUAAUAUCUAA
RNAcentral lists this ribosomal RNA (402 nucleotides) under Triticum aestivum (bread wheat). RNAcentral's name for it is "partial small subunit ribosomal RNA". Lineage: Eukaryota; Viridiplantae; Streptophyta; Magnoliopsida; Poales; Poaceae. The record is from RNAcentral.